This 399-nucleotide unclassified non-coding RNA is filed under the name Hevea brasiliensis (rubber tree). Lineage: Eukaryota; Viridiplantae; Streptophyta; Magnoliopsida; Malpighiales; Euphorbiaceae. The record is from RNAcentral.
GGAUGAGGUUUGUUUGUGCUUAAUUAUAAUAAGUGGUACCAAAUCAACAUCAAAAUACUCCUAUAUAAGGAGAUGUAAGCUGUAUUUUUUCAUGUGUAGGACAAAGAAUUCAGAUUCAGUUUUCUUUUCUUCCUCCAUAUAUUAUUUUAUCAAAUGCUCUUUCUUUUCUUCAUUAAAUCUGUCCAUAUUUAACUCUACAGUCAAAACAAUCUUCUUUCACUCCCCUCCUACAGUUCUGGUCUAGAUAUGCUCUAACCAUCUGACAUUUUAUCGUCAAUGAGUAUGAGUGUUAUAUCUACCUUCCUCCCUCUGAUACAACUCUUCAAUUACCUUGCCAUACACAUGUCGGCCCGUGUCCGCACAACGCGGGAUAUGUGUCCGACACAUAUCCAUCACGUU